Molecule: non-coding RNA, 754 nt
Filed under: Pan troglodytes (chimpanzee)
Lineage: Eukaryota; Metazoa; Chordata; Mammalia; Primates; Hominidae
Source: RNAcentral
AUCCACCCAAGACCCGGUUCCUCGAUUCCCAUCGUUACGACCGAGGAGAAAAGAGAGUAAAUUUUCCUAUUAUAGCCUUCUCUCGCACCUUCCCCGCUUCCCACCAGCCGUCUCCACUGUCCUCACCGUCCCCAUCCUCAUCCAUGGCGAAAUCUUCGCCCCCAGCCUCGUGAAGAUCUAGCACGUCCGCCAUCUCGCCUUCGAUCGAGAUCUCGUCUGUGCCGCUCAGACACUAGGUACCUCGGGAAACUGUCGCAGAGGGGAAAGGUCGCCAGUCAAGCUGACCAAUCAAAGGUUAACUCUAAAUCCCUCCCUCUGCACGGUAAAAACACGCAAAUUGGGGCGGGCCUAGUGAGGAAAGAUACCGGAAGUGUUUCUGUGGCCAUCUUGAGCAGGUCGCAAGCUAAAUCCUGCCAUCUUAGGAGAAACGGGGCUUUGCCAUGUUGACCAGGCUGGUCUCAAACUCCUGGCCUCAAGUGAUCCACCCGCCUCAGCCUCCCAAAGUGCUGGGAUUACAGGCCUGAGCCACCAUGCCCGGCCAGGAAGAUGCUGUUGACUGGGGCAAAGAAUAAUGGGAGAAAAACAGCUGGGUCCUAAAUAACAGAGGGAAACCAACUUUCAAUAAAGUAUUCAACAACUAAUCCACAAAGCAGAUAACUGAACUUGCUGGCCUGCUCUAUAGUGCUGUUGCUUAAAAAGUCAUCUGUGAAGAAAACCAGAGGGAGAAAUUUCACCUGCCAAAGUGGAUAAAGAG